Cebus imitator (Panamanian white-faced capuchin) is the source of this 107-nucleotide small nuclear RNA. NCBI's taxonomy places the organism in Eukaryota, Metazoa, Chordata, Mammalia, Primates, Cebidae. The record is from Ensembl.
AUGCUCCCUGCAGCAGUACAUAUACUAAAAUUGGAAUACUACAAAGAAGAUUACCAUGCCCCCUGUGGAAGGAUGACAUGCAAAUUCAUGAAAUGUUUCAUAUUGAA